CCUACGGGAGGCAGCAGUGAGGAAUAUUGGUCAAUGGGCUUACGCCUGAACCAGCAAAGUCGCGUGAGGGAAGACUGCCCUAUGGGUUGUAAACCUCUUUUGUCAGGGAGCAACGCCGGCUACGUGUAGCCGGACUGAGAGUACCUGAAGAAAAAGCAUCGGCUAACUACGUGCCAGCAGCCGCGGUAAUACGGAGGAUGCGAGCGUUAUCCGGAUUUAUGGGGUUUAAAGGGUGCGUAGGCGGAAUGCCAAGUCAGCGGUAAAAUAGCGGGGCUCAACCUCGCUCCGCCGUUGAAACUGGCGUUCUUGAGUGGGCGAGAAGUAUGCGGAAUGCGUGGUGUAGCGGUGAAAUGCAUAGAUAUCACGCAGAACUCCGAUUGCGAAGGCAGCAUACCGGCGCCCAACUGACGCUGAAGCACGAAAGCGUGGGUAUCGAACAGGAUUAGAUACCCUUGUAGUC
Molecule: ribosomal RNA, 460 nt
Filed under: uncultured bacterium
Lineage: Bacteria
Description: partial 16S ribosomal RNA
Rfam family: Bacterial small subunit ribosomal RNA
Source: RNAcentral